UUGCGUGUCCCCAGUGGACCCUGGCAGGAUUCUGAUCCAGACGUUUCUGACUUGAGCAUCCCUUCGGGCAGCACUCGACAAAACUCGGACCUGUGUGUCGUCUCCACUUCAUAGAUGAGGAAACCAAGGCCAGAGGUGAAUGACUUGCCUCAAGUCCCAGGGCCAGGAUUCUAACCAUUUGCUUCUAAGCUGCUGCUUCCACUGCAUGGGACCAGUCCCUUUCCUGUAACUAAAGGUGCUGGGUGGCAGAACUCUUCCCUCAAAUCUCUGGAGAAGGGAGUUCUUGCUAAGAUCCUUCAGGGAAUUCCCUGGCAGUCCAGUGGUUAGGACUCCACAGUGGUUGGGGAACUAAGAUCCUGCAAGUCGCGUGGCGUGGCCAAAGGAAAAAAAAAAAGAUCUUUCAAAAAUCCUUCCUGCCGCACUGAAACCUCUGUGCCUUCCUCAGAGGGAGCAAAGGUCAGCCUCUUGCGCAGAGACCGAGCUUGCUGCCACGCCCAGGCAUGAGCCGAGGAGCUCAGAGCAGGCCCAACCCAUCCCUUCUUCGUGACUUUCUUGUGCUUUCAGCAUAGGGCAGAGUUGUCUAACUCAUCCACUCCUUUCAGAGAGGAGAGAGCAAGCGCGCAUUUAUUCUUGAGGAUAUGAAACAAAGGAUGAUGAAACAAAAUGGAAUGAGAUGCAGGGAAACUAUUUAAAUGCGGGGUGGGGAGACGGAGCCACAACCAAAACCAGCUUCCGAGACCUGAAACCAGAAGGUGAGCCUCCUCAUGGCACCUUCCGCCCCUGCGUCCAGACGUCCUCCUGAGAAAGGACAGCCCACUUGCUGGCAGGGGCUCGUCGGGAACUACAGCUCCCAGCAGACACCGAGAGGGGACGCUGUGCCCCUAGGGCCCGCUCCAGAUUCCCAAAUAUGGAGAAGGACUGGGUUGGGGAAGAGGAACCGAGUGUUCCCCCUUGAGAGAGGGAGAGGGGGGAGGGUGAGAUCAGGAGCAUGUUGGCUGCUGGCACCUGUCCCAGACUGUGUCAGAUGGGGCCCCGUCCCCAUCCAUCCCAGCUCCCCACUGAAGCAGGGAGGGGCCACGAAACCUCAGCAACGGUCUAGAGGUGAGAAGUGAACUCAGUAUGAAAAAUAAGAUUUGUGCAAGCAAAGCACAGAGGUUGAGAUGAUCAGCAUUUAAGGGGAGGGGAGGCCUGGUGGGACGCGGCUGGUCCUGUCCCGGAGAGCUCUUGCAGGCAGGUUGGGGAGCUGGGCUGGAAGGUCAAGGAAGUUAGGUGUCCACGGCAAGUGCUCCUGACGUGCUCAAGGUUUUAAUAGAUUUCCACCGCAGGGUGUCUGCUUGGGGUCAGGGUUGGGGGUGAGUGCGAGACCCCGGGAAGUCCUUCCUGCUCUGGAAUUCCAUGCUCAGGGAUGGCUGUGGACUUCCGGGGACCCGAGUACCAUUCAUUGGAGCUAUUUUUGGUCUGCAGUAAGUUAGCCAGGCCGCGGGGCUGGGAAAGCGCUACCGCUGAAGGAGGUGAUUCACUGGGACAGGAUGCCCUGAGGCCACGUUGUGAGCCCCUGGGAUCCCAGAACAAGGGUCUCUAGUGUUUGGGACGCCCUGGGUUCAGGGGGUAAUCUCUGCAGGGCCUUCAGCAGAGAGAGGGCAGGGAGGGCCCUCAGAUGAAACGGCAGAGGCUUUUGAACUCCUUCUCCCAUACCUGACGUCAGCCCAUGAGCCAGGUUUGACUGCACAAACUAUCCCGCUGGGUGCUUAUUAGUAUCCCAUUUGACUGAGGCUCAGAAAGGUUAAGAAACUUGCCCGAGUUUACCAGGUAGCAAAUGCCAGAGCCAAAAUUCUAACCCAUAAAUCUGACAGCAAAGCAACUGCACCACAGCACUCCAUGCUUGAGGGCCCCUCCCAGAGGGACGGAGCCAGUGUGUCCCGGGGAGGGAGGGGGAUGCAUGGGAGAGGACUGAGCUCUCGGCGCCCAAGGGGCACACUGCGGCAUCCUGCGUUGUCCUUUCCUCCAACCCUUUCAUUCCAGCAGGGCCAGCGCUCAAAGGCUCUGCAGGAGAAGAGUUUGGACCUGAAGAGGUGUCCUGAGGCGGUGGACAGAGCUCUCGUCUGGGCAGGAGUGUCCUGGUUCUUUUUCUGGUUAAUGCAGGACAAGCUACUUACCCUCUGAUCCUCAGUUCCUUUAUCAAGGAAAGGCAGUGGGAUGGGAUAGAGGAAUUAGGAUGAGUAAAUGCCCACUGUACUGACCUCACUAAGUUACAAAGACAAAACGGAACCCUGAAUAAAUAAGUCACCAAAUAUAGUCAUGUUAUAAAAAUCCUAAGUUCUUAUCUAGUUGACUCUCCAGCUCAAAAUGUUUUGUAGAUAUAUUUUGGCGCUCAAAUGGCUCAGCCCAAGUCGUGAGGCGUCCUAGGGUUCUCUGUGAGUCUCUCUGGCCAAAUCACCCAAGGUCAUCCUCAAACCCUUGACUGGUUCCACUCUUGAGCAGCUGUUUACUUCUGACAUGAACAGCCUCAAUUCCACUUUCUGAAAAGUCAAAGAGCCCGGCUCUUUCUCCCCACUGGAACUUUGCAGAGUCCACGUCCAUAACUCGGAGUCCUUGGUCUGGUCACCCCCUUCAGUCCACGUCCAAAAGAGGCCACGGCUUGUCCACAUUGUAUCUUCACAGCUAACUCAGCGCACGGCACACAGCGGUGCUCGGCGAACUUUGAUGCAUACGUGAACUUUCCCCUGAUUUCUCCCCCCCCAUCCCCACUGAUGUUUUCAUUGCCAUGGAGAUGGGGAUAUUUCUGACCUCAUCCUUUGGGAGUACCACAGAGAUUAGCUAAUUAAUAAGGUGGGGAGGGCGAAGCUCUCCUGGCACUUAGUGUUUAACCGAAAUGGCUGGGAGACAGUGGUGAAACCCCAGGGCCUUCUCAGAGCAUCGUGAAGACACACAGUGGGAGCCCUGACCCUUGAUGUUCGUUGCUCUGGGACCCUCCUCUCUUCUGUUGGCAGGCGUUCCCCCAGCGUCCAUCCUGGAGGCUGACCCCCCUACCAACUCCCCUGCACAGUGCCCCUCCCUCAGGGGAUCCUUCCUGCAGCUGUGCAACAGCUGGAGCCUUUGGGAGCCCCGCAGGGUCCAGAGGCCACAGUCACCUGCUGCCAAAGUCACCCCCCCGCACCCCCCACUUUCCCGUUUCCCAGAUCAGGUGGGCGGGGGUGGGGGGCACGGGUCCAAGGGUAUGAGGAAGGGCAGUUUACUUGGCUUUCCCCCGUGAUAGAAAAGUGAAUUGGAAUGGCCACUGGCAGUGAAUAAACCAGAGCAAAAGACCCAUGCCAGCUGGUGACCACUGGAAAAAAGCAGCAAAUUCAUGAAUUACCCUAUUUACACCAGAAAUAAACUAAUAGUUUGGACCUUUGCUUGAUAGGUUGUGCUGGAAUUAUAGGCCGUUCAUGAAGACACAUGCGUGAAGCUGGUUUCCACCCCUCCUUACUCAUUGACGGCUUUGGCACCAAACCCUAAUGUUCCACUCCACCAAGCCUUGCUGGCAUCCUGGGUAAUCAGUGUCAGACAGACCAACCGUUUACAAACUGGGAAUCGCAACCCAUUAGUGUGUCAGGAAACUGAUUUGGAGGAUUGUGACUAGAUUCUUUUUUUUUUUUUAAGAAACAGUAUAGAAAUAAAAUAUCAGAGUACUUCACAUGUAGGAAGGGUAGUUUGGGGGUAAAAUGUUUAUUUCAAAGACAUGUAUGUUAUUAUAUGAUAACAUAUACUAAUAACAUAUUAUUUCAGUAACAUAAUACAUGUGUACUAGGUCAUGACAUCAAAUACACUUUUUAUUAUGGACCAUAGUCAAAAGUUUAAAAGGGAUAAGAGUAUGUAUAAAGGAAUACUAUUCAGCCUUAAAAGGAAAGGAAAGUCUGACACAGGCUACACUGUGGAUGAACCUCGAGGACAUUGUGCUCAGGGAAAUAAGCGAGUGACGAAAGGACAGAUACUGUGAGACUCCAUUUAUAAGAGGAGCUUAAAUAGUCACAUUCAUAGAGACAGAAUGUACAGAGGUGGUUGCCAGGGUCCAGAUGGGGGGCAGGGAGUGGGGAGUUCGUGUUC
Molecule: long non-coding RNA, 4086 nt
Organism: Aethalodelphis obliquidens (Pacific white-sided dolphin)
Lineage: Eukaryota; Metazoa; Chordata; Mammalia; Artiodactyla; Delphinidae
Exons: 3
Source: RefSeq, a predicted model, not a curated record